AUAUGCAAGCUCCUGGAAUGCCUGUGGUUUCUCCAGCACCUGGGUCCUGCUGGCAACCAGCAGCACCCAGUGGCCAGCAGCGUACUCUUUCACCUCUUCUUGGGUGACUUUGUGGAAUGCUCCAAUGUGACAUCUCCCUGUGAACGCCUUUCCUGACACCCUAAAAAGUGUCAGGAAUUUCCAGCAAGUUCCAGAGAGCAGGUUUCCAGCAAGUUUGGUCAGUAUGACACCACAGCGAUAUCUCUGCCAUUCACUGAACUUGGAUUCUUCCUUCUUCAGUGAGAGAUGUUCAAGAAAAAGAACAACUUCAGUGGAAGAAGAAGAAGAUAGGAGCCCAGGUCCUGUGUUUCACCAAGACAGCCGUGCAAAGCAGAUGCUGCCAAAAAGGUGCAAAGUGGUUUGUCAGCUCUUCUGCAUGUUCUAACAAAUUAGACAUGCAUCCCAAAAGGUUUCCUAGACUUUCCAUCACCACCAGUGAAUUCUGAGUGACAAUAGUGUGGAAUUUGGAAGAAUGGAAGAGAAACUGAAGUGGAGAGAUGGUGAAAGAGAAGAAAAAAUGAAGAAAGAUGCUUGCAAAAAUACUGCUGUGGGUCCUGAGAUGAGGAUUCUGGGAGGGCUGAAAUGGAUGCCCCUGACAGCUCCCUUUGAGUUCCUGUUCAUCUGAAGUACACCAGCUUUCUAGAUAUGCUGUCACUUUCCUUCUGCAGAGCCACAGUGGUGUCCUGUCUUCUCAGACCUCUUCUCACCUCAAAUCACUUAGGACUCGGCCACCAGACAGAUUUGGGAUUUCAGAACUUUUCAGAUGUUAGAAAGUUCUUUUCUAAAUGUGAUGAGGAAUUACGGAAUCAUAAAAUGGAAGCAGAGUUAAACUCAGACAUGUGGGCACUCAAGGCAAUUAGGAGCUUUCUGCGAUGAGAAAGGGAUCAGACUGAUCCUUAAGACUUUAUGCAACCCCAGAGUAUUGCAGCCACCUGCAUGCCGAAGGUGUCAAGAGUGUUCUCACUGCUGCCUAUAGGAGGGUCUUCAGCCUCCAGUGAUCCAAAGUACCAGGCUGACCUGUGACUGCUUCGGCCAACUGAAUAGGGAAGAGUGAUGCUGUGCUGUUUCCAGGCCUGUUCUUUAAAAGUACUUGGAAGCUUCUGCCUUGGCCUCUUUGUGCCUGAGUUGCUGUAUAAGAAUCUGACUACCUUGCUGGAGAGACCUUGUGGAGAAGACUUGACCUUAUAUGCAGAGGUAGAGGGGCCCUGGUUAGUCCAGCCAUCUAGCCAUCCUGUCAAAAUAGCAGGAGUAUGAUGGCCAAUGGAUCCAAAACCUAUCCUAUAUCUACAUGUUGGUGGCCACAUUAAUCUGACAUCUGACAGCAAGAGCGAUGAUUGGGUUCACUGGAAAUCUUUGUGAAGUACGAGUGAAGUCCUUGUGAAGUCAGAGUUUCCUCUUCAUGCCUCUACUCCUAUGCAGUUUGACCUCUCAGUGUGCAGCUGGUGAUAGAUGGAAACCCUUGUUCAUAAGCUUUGUGGCACUGUCGGCAGGAUGAGGGGACUUCUGGAUCCUCACUGGUCACUGUGGCAGAGUGGUUGGUGUUGUCUGCUCCCUAGACAGGAACCCACUGAAGAAUCUGACAUUUUUUGAUAUGCUGGCAUUCAUUGUUACAGCCCAUCAUCCCAGCCAUCAAUCCAGGACAUGGGGUCUGUGCCCACGGUGGGAAGGAGGAGGGGGAAGCUGGCUUUGUUCUGACGUUGGGCUUCUUCUGCUCCACCAGUACUUUCUGUGGGGGAAAUAGGUAAAGAAAUGGCUGUUCAGAUGAGAAGAUGUGUCAGUAAACUUUUGCUACAGUGAUGCUGCAAAACAAAUCACUGGUGACUUUCAGUGGCACACAGCAAUAAACAUUUAUUUAGCUCAGGGAUUGACAAUCUUUUUUUUUUUUUAAAGGGCCAAAUAGUAAAUAUUUUAGGUGUUUCAGGCCAUACAGUCUCUGAACUCUGAACUUGUAGCACAACAGUAGCCUUAGAUGCUAUGCAAAUGGAGGAGCAUGACUGUGUUCCAAUAAAACUUUAUUUAUGGACACUAAAAAAAAAAAAAAA
This 2081-nucleotide long non-coding RNA is filed under the name Homo sapiens (human). Its description in RNAcentral is "long independently transcribed non-coding RNA 2615 (LINC02615)". The record is from RNAcentral. Lineage: Eukaryota; Metazoa; Chordata; Mammalia; Primates; Hominidae.